AUGUAGAUACAGGUGGUGCAUGGCUGUUGUCAGCUCGCGUCGUGAGAUGUUGGGUUAAGUCCCGCAACGAGCGCAACCCUUAUUUUUAGUUGCUAAUUUAGUUUAGGUUUUCUAGAAAGACUGCCGGUGACAAACCGGAGGAAGGUGAGGAUGACGUCAAGUCAGCAUGCCCCUUAUGCCUUGGGCUACACACGUGCUACAAUGGUUAAGACAAAGAGUUGCGAGCUCGUGAGAGUCAGCUAAUCUCAUAAACUUAGCCUAAGUUCGGAUUGUAGGCUGCAACUCGCCUGCAUGAAGUCGGAAUCGCUAGUAAUCGCUGGUCAGCCAUACAGCGGUGAAUCCGUUCCCGGGCCUUGUACACACCGCCCGUCACACCAUGGGAGCUGGUCAUGCCCGAAACCGUUAGCUUAACCUUUAUGGAGAGCGGCGUCUAAGGUAGGGUUAGUGACUGGGGUG
This 456-nucleotide ribosomal RNA is filed under the name uncultured bacterium. RNAcentral describes it as "bacterial SSU rRNA". It matches the Rfam family "Bacterial small subunit ribosomal RNA", at positions 1026 to 1482 of the family's 1533-position model. The record is from RNAcentral.